GCAGCAGUAGGGAUCUUCGGCAUGGACGCAAGUCUGACCGAGCAACGCCGCGUGAGUGAAGAAGGUUUUCGGAUCGUAAAGCUCUGUUGUCAGCAAAGAACAGGAGAAAGAGGAAAUGCUUUUUCUAUGACGGUAGCUGACCAGAAAGCCACGGCUAACUACGUGCCAGCAGCCGCGGUAAUACGUAGGUGGCAAGCGUUGUCCGGAUUUAUUGGGCGUAAAGCGAGCGCAGGCGGUGAUUUAAGUCUGAUGUGAAAGCCCCCAGCUCAACUGGGGAGGGUCAUUGGAAACUGGAUCACUUGAGUGCAGAAGAGGAGAGUGGAAUUCCAUGUGUAGCGGUGAAAUGCGUAGAUAUAUGGAGGAACACCAGUGGCGAAGGCGGCUCUCUGGUCUGUAACUGACGCUGAGGCUCGAAAGCGUGGGUAGCAAACAGGAUUAGAUACCCUGGUAGUCCACGCCGUAAACGAUGAGUGCUAAGUGUUGGAGGGUUUCCGCCCUUCAGUGCUGCAGUUAACGCAUUAAGCACUCCGCCUGGGGAGUACGACCGCAAGGUUGAAACUCAAAGGAAUUGACGGGCCCCCC
This 582-nucleotide ribosomal RNA is filed under the name Tetragenococcus sp. RNAcentral describes it as "bacterial SSU rRNA". It matches the Rfam family "Bacterial small subunit ribosomal RNA", at positions 348 to 923 of the family's 1533-position model. Lineage: Bacteria; Bacillati; Bacillota; Bacilli; Lactobacillales; Enterococcaceae. The record is from RNAcentral.